Molecule: ribosomal RNA, 683 nt
Filed under: uncultured archaeon
Lineage: Archaea
Description: bacterial SSU rRNA
Rfam family: Archaeal small subunit ribosomal RNA
Source: RNAcentral
AGGGGACGUGGAUAACCUCGGGAAACUGAGGAUAAACCGCGAUAGGUCACUACUUCUGGAAUGGGUAAUGACCCAAACCUACAUGGCCCCUGGAUUGGACUGCGGCCGAUCAGGCUGUUGGUGAGGUAAUGGCCCACCAAACCUGUAACCGGUACGGGCUCUGAGAGGAGGAGCCCGGAGAUGGGCACUGAGACAAGGGCCCAGGCCCUAUGGGGCGCAGCAGGCGCGAAACCUCUGCAAUAGGCGAAAGCUUGGCAGGGUUACUCUGAGUGAUUUCCGUUAAGGAGAUCUUUUGGCACCUCUAAAAAUGGUGCAGAAUAAGGGGUGGGCAAGUCUGGUGUCAGCCGCCGCGGUAAUACCAGCACCCCGAGUGGUCGGGACGUUUAUUGGGCCUAAAGCAUCCGUAGCCGGUUCUACAAGUCUUCCGUUAAAUCCACCUGCUUAACAGAUGGGCUGCGGAAGAUACUAUGGAGCUAGGAGGCGGGAGAGGCAAGCGGUACUCGAUGGGUAGGGGUAAAAUCCGUUGAUCCAUUGAAGACCACCAGUGGCGAAGGCGGCUUGCCAGAACGCGCUCGACGGUGAGGGAUGAAAGCUGGGGGAGCAAACCGGAUUAGAUACCCGGGUAGUCCCAGCUGUAAACGAUGCAGACUCGGUGAUGAGUUGGCUUCAUGCCAACUCAGUGC